This is a non-coding RNA of Ixodes scapularis (black-legged tick), 82 nucleotides long. The record is from Rfam. NCBI's taxonomy places the organism in Eukaryota, Metazoa, Arthropoda, Arachnida, Ixodida, Ixodidae.
GCAGUCGUGGCCGAGUGGUUAAGGCAAUGGACUAGAAAUCCAGUGGGGUGUCCACGAACGGGUUCAAAUCCUGUUGACCGCG